GGCCAGGUGAUGGAAUUGGUAGACAUGCGGGUCUCAAAAACCCGUGGGCGCAAGCUCAUGAGAGUUCGACUCUCUCCCUGGCCACCA
RNAcentral lists this transfer RNA (87 nucleotides) under candidate division WS2 bacterium ADurb.Bin280. Its description in RNAcentral is "tRNA-Leu". It matches the Rfam family "tRNA". Rfam says of the family: Transfer RNA (tRNA) molecules are approximately 80 nucleotides in length. Their secondary structure includes four short double-helical elements and three loops (D, anti-codon, and T loops). Further hydrogen bonds mediate the characteristic L-shaped molecular structure. tRNAs have two regions of fundamental functional importance: the anti-codon, which is responsible for specific mRNA codon recognition, and the 3' end, to which the tRNAs corresponding amino acid is attached (by aminoacyl-tRNA synthetases). tRNAs cope with the degeneracy of the genetic code in two manners: having more than one tRNA (with a specific anti-codon) for a particular amino acid; and 'wobble' base-pairing, i.e. permitting non-standard base-pairing at the 3rd anti-codon position. The record is from RNAcentral.